RNAcentral lists this long non-coding RNA (204 nucleotides) under Nicotiana benthamiana. RNAcentral's name for it is "long non-coding RNA (NBEN_LNC000379)". The record is from RNAcentral. Lineage: Eukaryota; Viridiplantae; Streptophyta; Magnoliopsida; Solanales; Solanaceae.
UGUACUCGUACCCCAGUCCGAAGGUAGUACCAUGUUUCUUCAACUAGAUAGGUUUGGUGAUAUCAUGAAGAUUCUUACCAAGCCCUUUUCCCGGUUCAUACCCACUCCAAUUCAGAAUGCUUUCAACCUUAAUGCUCCACCAUUUGUCUUUAUCCACUGCGUUGACUUGCUCAAUAUGAUGAUAUGUUUCUCCGCCAAUUCUUC